RNAcentral lists this long non-coding RNA (1468 nucleotides) under Monodelphis domestica (gray short-tailed opossum). RNAcentral describes it as "lncRNA (ENSMODG00000049823.1)". The record is from RNAcentral. Lineage: Eukaryota; Metazoa; Chordata; Mammalia; Didelphimorphia; Didelphidae.
AACUUCUGGAUGACAGCAAGUAAGGUGGGGGAGGUGAUAAUUCUGAUGGAAACUCCCAAAGGAAUCCCAUUGAGACAAGAGGCAAUGUGCUGCAGUGGAGAAAGGGAAGCAUCUCAUGGAAAAGGAAUCAGAUUUGGAGUCACAGGUCCUGAAUGUGAAUCCUCCUACCACCACUUAACCCCUCUGGGCCUCAGUUUACUCAUCUGUCAGCCUCAGUUUCCUCAUCUGUCAAAUGAUCCAGAGAAGAAAUCAGCAAACCACUCUAGUAUCUUGGCCAAGAAAACCUCAAAUGGAGCCAUGAAGAGUCAGACGCGACUGAACAACAGCCGAGGUGGACGGGGGAAGCCACUUGCUCAGUGUUAUACAACUUGUGAGUAUCUCAUGGUGUGGUCCCAGGUGUACCCAGAGGUUUUUUGGGGUUCUCAAGCUUUAGGCCUGUAUUGGAUGGGAUUUGAACUCAGAUCCUGAGACACCAGACGCAAUAUUUUUUAUUUGUGAUUUGCAGAGCCACGAGAAGAGGAGAAGCAGAGAUAUGUCAUGAGGAGGAGAGCAUUGGAUUUUGCAUUAAGGGACACGGGUUCAGAUUCCAUCUUGGUCACUUAUUCCAUGUAUAACCUUGGGCAAGUUACCCAAACAUUCCAGGCCUUGUUUCCUCCUUCCCUCCUCUGGGAAAUGAAGGGUCCAGCUUUAAUUUCUGCUGUUCUCCUGAUCUGAAGAAAUACGCUUUGAAUGUGAGCUGGGAGAUCUAGGAGAGAGAAGAGGCAUUGGGAAAGACGUUGGGGAAGUUCACCAUCUUGUCUUUCAAAGCAUCAGAAGAGAGCCUUGAACACCUGUUCCAGGUGACCUCCCAGACCGCUGAGCAGAGAAUAUCAGGGAGUGUCUUGACUUGAAAGGGGAUUUCCUUCCCGAGCUGAACCACAUGGGGUCUUUUCCCUUAUAGCCAGAGAAUGACAGCCUUGCAAGCAAUUUUUUCCUCCUUGCAAUAUUUCUUCCUUCUUUUUCAGAGCCAACAUUAGCAGGACUUGUAGUGAUAUACAGACACAACAAGCUGUCUUUGGAGGUGUGCUGACUCUGUGAGAUAGUGGAGUCAGAGAACUGGGUUCCUGCCUCCCUUCUGAUACUUCCUAUAUGACUUUGGACCAGUCACUUGUCCCUGGUCCCAGUUUCAUCAGCUGGAAAAUGGUCUAAACCUAUGAUCCUGUGAUCUCCCUGGCCCUCGGUUUCUUUGUUUGUAAAAUGAGAAAGUUGGACAAGAUGGCUUAAAUCUAUGAUCCAUAACCUCCCUGAGCCUCAGUUUCCUUCUCUGUGAAGUGUGGGGAUCAGAUGAAAUGUCCUCUAAGGUCCCUUCUAGCUCUCAAAUUCCCCCACCUCCUUCCCUCUAAGCACUUCGGCUUCUCUCCCCUGCAGGUUUCUUGAAACCUGUUUUCCAAAGUUCCCUUCCUCCCCUAAGAAAACAGGAGUCUGGGAA